Long non-coding RNA from Bacillus rossius redtenbacheri, 2298 nucleotides. RefSeq lists it as uncharacterized. The transcript is spliced from 3 exons. NCBI's taxonomy places the organism in Eukaryota, Metazoa, Arthropoda, Insecta, Phasmatodea, Bacillidae. The record is from RefSeq and is a predicted model, not a curated record.
GGAAGAAAAAAAGUAGUCGUGAACCUGCCCCGGGGCUGGGAGGUUGUGUGUGCGUUUGCCCGCGGGACAACUAGUUGGUGGAACGUAAUGUGGAGUCGCCGGGAAUUUUGGUUUUGGUUUGAUUUACCCUGAAUGUGAGGCUUGUUUUCGAACGGUAAGCGGUAAACUGGUGAAGGUUUACCAAGAAGCCUACAUCGCGGAAGAAUUUACGCGCCUGUGUUACAAGUGUUUGCUGCUUCGCUGAUAUAUUCCGCUACAACUAGUGCUACCAGAACGUCAACUUUAAGCAGCGGCCAAGGUCAAAUGCCCGCUCACCUGUAUGAGGUAUUGCGCCUAUCGGCUUUAAGGGCGGUGGAGAAAUGCGGCAGGCAUCGCGGCUAAUAAAAUUGUGAAGUCGCAAUUUUUGCCCUCGAUCCCGGCCGCAAAUCAAGACACCGCAACGUGGCGAAUCCCUCACUUGACUCGUUCCGGACGUGGCUGGGGCGCGCUCCGAACGGGGUCGUCACUGUUCGGGUGAGAACCGGCUGAAGGUAGCGUCGGUACGACGUCACUUUUACACCUCUAGUGAACAGGCGUGAGAGCGGCCUUUGCAUCGGAACGGGCGCAUGCCAAUCAUCAGCUGUCAUGCCCGUGUUCCAGAAAAUGCAGUGUUCAGUGAAGAGAAUAUAAUGUUUUUAUCUAUAACUGACUGGUCUCAAGCAAGUUAUGAGCUGUUCUUCCAUUGGUAGGACAAGUAGUUUUGUACUACUAGGGGCAAGAUAAUAUGGUGAAUAGUGAUAAACACAAAAUGCAAUGAAAUAAAAACAAUACGUAAUUGAUACCACACAAAUGUAGGCAAAAUUUCAUCCAGAUCUGUUCAGCCGUUCUGGCGUGAUUGAGUAACAAACAUCCAUCCAUCCAAACUUUCACAUUUAUAAUAUUAGUGGGAUUGUGAUAAAAUUUAAAUUUGACAUUGUCCAAUGUUAAUUUGUUAGCUCCAAUAACAAAGUUACUUUUUUUUCCAUAAAUGAAAUGUUAUAUGUAAUAACUUGAGUUAUUUUAUAUAUUAAUGCACAUUACUAGCGACAUAUGUACAAUAUUCAUAAAAAUCGAAAUAACAAAGACAAAUAACUAUAAAUAUGAAGCCAUAAUUUCUUGCCUCUAUAUUACUGAUGAAACUGAAUAAUAUACACGUGUGUAUGUUUGUAAGUAGCAAUGGCCAGGCCUAUAACUGACUUAAUGUUGCAUGUGACAAGCUGAAACGUGUGAUAGUGUUAACCUAUGUUCUGGCUGUUUUUUAAGCCCAAGUCUUACACGUCAACUUCAUUAUUUCAUGUUGUCAUUCUUGUUAAUUAAUUCAGAUCUUUUGCAUUUCUUGAUGGGCUACAAAUUUUCUCACCAGAUACUCUAAAGAAAUUUUUUUCUAACCGUAAAAUGUCAUGCUAUUUAACACACUAAAACCCUGUUACAAAUCUUUUCAAGGGGGUACAAGUUAAAAACAUAAGUAGGGAAUAAGUACAUACAUCUGAUAAAACACUGAAAUGGCAAGGAACUCUUUUUUUCCCCUCCCCCCAAGAAAGGGUGCCAACACACGUAACUGAGAAUGUUUUGUACUGUUGAUAUAUUGAAUACACUGCAUUUGCCAGCAUUUAUGUGUAGCUCUGGUAUUCUGGCAUACAUACAUUUUAUUUUUGUAUACUACUGUAAUUAAAAAAUCUCUAUAUGAAAAUGGUGGUUGUAAACAAAAAAAUGUGUAAAGUAAACCUUUUAACAUGUUAAACUUGCCUGUAGGAAUAGUUAGGUUUUUUAAAACUUUUUGUGUUUGAAUUUGUUGUAUUUUGGAAAGUAAUCAAGCAGGAAAUGAACCAUUUGGCUACACUUGUGAAAUGUAAUGAAUACAUUGUCCUCGUGGGAAAAAUGUCAGGGACUUAAAUAAUAUGGUGGAAGAAGGAAAAAAAGCAGGAAUAUUGUAACAGGGUGCUACUGUAAUUAUACACUUGUCAUGUUUUACAGCUUUGUGAUAUCAUGUGAUUUUACUGAUAAAGCAGUUUCCAAGGACAUUAAGUUGGAACUCCUAACAAAUUUUUACUUAAUGUGCAAAACUUUCACAUGUUAAUUGAUAAUAUAAAAAAAAUAUGUGAAAGUUUUGAGCUUGAAGUAAAAAUUUGUUAGGAGUUCCAACUUAAUUUCCUUGGAAAACUGGUUAAUGCUAACAAAUGUUUAAGCUUUUCUCAAGCAAGAUGCGAAGUGUUAAUUACUGCCAAUAAUGAAAAAUGAUUUUGUAUUUUGUUGGUGCAAAUAAACUCAUUAUAAAUUGGA